This 253-nucleotide ribosomal RNA is filed under the name uncultured bacterium. RNAcentral's name for it is "partial 16S ribosomal RNA". It matches the Rfam family "Bacterial small subunit ribosomal RNA", at positions 524 to 776 of the family's 1533-position model. The record is from RNAcentral.
UACAGAGGGGGCUAGCGUUGUUCGGAAUUACUGGGCGUAAAGGGCGCGUAGGCGGUGGACCAAGUCAGGCGUGAAAGCCCCGGGCUCAACCUGGGAACCGCGCUUGAGACUGGUGCGCUAGAGUUCGGGAGAGGAUGGUGGAAUUCCCAGUGUAGAGGUGAAAUUCGUAGAUAUUGGGAAGAACACCGAUGGCGAAGGCAGCCAUCUGGACCGACACUGACGCUGAGGCGCGAAAGCGUGGGGAGCAAACAGG